AUUGAACGCUGGCGGCAUGCUUUACGCAUGCAAGUCGAACGGCAGCGGGGAGGAGCUUGCUUCUCUGCCGGCGAGUGGCGAACGGGUGAGUAAUACAUCGGAACGUGUCGAGAAGAGGGGGAUAACCACCCGAAAGGGUGGCUAAUACCGCAUAAAUUCUGAGGAAGAAAGCUGGGGACCUAGGAAUAGGCCUAGCGCUUUUUGAGCGACCGAUGUCGGAUUAGCUAGUUGGUGAGGUAAAGGCUCACCAAGGCGAAGAUCUGUAGCGGGUCUGAGAGGAUGAUCCGCCACACUGGGACUGAGACACGGCCCAGACUCCUACGGGAGGCAGCAGUGGGGAAUUUUGGGCAAUGGGGGCAACCCUGAUCCAGCCAUGCCGCGUGUAUGAAGAAGGCCUUAGGGUUGUAAAGUACUUUUGUUAGGGAAGAAAAGUCAGCUGUGAAUAAUGGCUGAUACUGACGGUACCUAAAGAAUAAGCACCGGCUAACUACGUG
Molecule: ribosomal RNA, 494 nt
Filed under: uncultured bacterium
Lineage: Bacteria
Description: partial 16S ribosomal RNA
Rfam family: Bacterial small subunit ribosomal RNA
Source: RNAcentral